CCUACGGGAGGCAGCAGUAGGGAAUAUUGGGCAAUGGAGGCAACUCUGACCCAGCCAUGCCGCGUGCAGGAUGAAGGCGUUAUGCGUUGUAAACUGCUUUUAUAUAGGAAGAAAUAGACCUUGCGAGGUAAGUUGACGGUACUAUAUGAAUAAGCACCGGCUAACUCCGUGCCAGCAGCCGCGGUAAUACGGAGGGUGCAAGCGUUGUCCGGAUUUAUUGGGUUUAAAGGGUGCGUAGGCGGUUUAUUAAGUCAGUGGUGAAAGACGGUCGCUCAACGAUUGCAGUGCCAUUGAUACUGGUAGACUUGAGUGAGAUUGAGGUAGCUGGAAUGGAUAGUGUAGCGGUGAAAUGCAUAGAUAUUAUCCAGAACACCAAUUGCGUAGGCAAGUUACUAAGUCUCAACUGACGCUGAGGCACGAAAGUGUGGGUAUCAAACAGGAUUAGAUACCCUGGUAGUCCACACUGUAAACGAUGAUAACUAACUGUUGGCUUUUGGGUCAGUGGUACAGAGAAAUCGUUAAGUUAUCCACCUGGGGAGUACGCCGGCAACCGGGAGAGACGCGAAAGAAAGUUAGUACGGCGUGAGACGUAGACCGAACGGACGACGACGAGGGGAGGAGGG
This 623-nucleotide ribosomal RNA is filed under the name uncultured bacterium. Its description in RNAcentral is "bacterial SSU rRNA". It matches the Rfam family "Bacterial small subunit ribosomal RNA", at positions 338 to 1415 of the family's 1533-position model. The record is from RNAcentral.